AGCUCGUUAGUAACGAUGUUGUUCAAGUUCCUCAAGGCACUGUAGUU
This 47-nucleotide unclassified non-coding RNA is filed under the name Desulfonema ishimotonii. RNAcentral describes it as "Target RNA-3 (28-MER) from Desulfonema ishimotonii (PDB 7YNC, chain C)". The record is from RNAcentral. Lineage: Bacteria; Pseudomonadati; Thermodesulfobacteriota; Desulfobacteria; Desulfobacterales; Desulfococcaceae.